GACGAACGCUGUCGGCGUGCUUAACACAUGCAAGUCGAACGGAAAGGCCCUGCUUUUGUGGGGUGCUCGAGUGGCGAACGGGUGAGUAACACGUGAGUAACCUGCCCUUGACUUUGGGAUAACUUCAGGAAACUGGGGCUAAUACCGGAUAGGAGCUCCUGCUGCAUGGUGGGGGUUGGAAAGUUUCGGCGGUUGGGGAUGGACUCGCGGCUUAUCAGCUUGUUGGUGGGGUAGUGGCUUACCAAGGCUUUGACGGGUAGCCGGCCUGAGAGGGUGACCGGCCACAUUGGGACUGAGAUACGGCCCAGACUCCUACGGGAGGCAGCAGUGGGGAAUAUUGCACAAUGGGCGGAAGCCUGAUGCAGCAACGCCGCGUGCGGGAUGACGGCCUUCGGGUUGUAAACCGCUUUCGCCUGUGACGAAGCGUGAGUGACGGUAAUGGGUAAAGAAGCACCGGCUAACUACGUGCCAGCAGCCGCGGCGAUACGUAGGGUGCGAGCGUUGUCCGGAUUUAUUGGGCGUAAAGGGCUCGUAGGUGGUUGAUCGCGUCGGAAGUGUAAUCUUGGGGCUUAACCCUGAGCGUGCUUUCGAUACGGGUUGACUUGAGGAAGGUAGGGGAGAAUGGAAUUCCUGGUGGAGCGGUGGAAUGCGCAGAUAUCAGGAGGAACACCAGUGGCGAAGGCGGUUCUCUGGGCCUUUCCUGACGCUGAGGAGCGAAAGCGUGGGGAGCGAACAGGCUUAGAUACCCUGGUAGUCCACGCUGUAAACGGUGGGUACUAGGUGUGGGGUCCAUUCCACGGGUUCCGUGCCGUAGCUAACGCUUUAAGUACCCCGCCUGGGGAGUACGGCCGCAAGGCUAAAACUCAAAGGAAUUGACGGGGCCCCGCACAAGCGGCGGAGCAUGCGGAUUAAUUCGAUGCAACGCGUAGAACCUUACCUGGGUUUGACAUGGAUCGGGAGUGCUCAGAGAUGGGUGUGCCUCUUUUGGGGUCGGUUCACAGGUGGUGCAUGGCUGUCGUCAGCUCGUGUCGUGAGAUGUUGGGUUAAGUCCCGCAACGAGCGCAACCCUUGUUCACUGUUGCCAGCACGUUAUGGUGGGGACUCAGUGGAGACCGCCGGGGUCAACUCGGAGGAAGGUGGGGAUGACGUCAAGUCAUCAUGCCCCUUAUGUCCAGGGCUUCACGCAUGCUACAAUGGCUGGUACAGAGAGUGGCGAGCCUGUGAGGGUGAGCGAAUCUCGGAAAGCCGGUCUCAGUUCGGAUUGGGGUCUGCAACUCGACCUCAUGAAGUCGGAGUCGCUAGUAAUCGCAGAUCAGCAACGCUGCGGUGAAUACGUUCCCGGG
RNAcentral lists this ribosomal RNA (1343 nucleotides) under uncultured bacterium. RNAcentral's name for it is "16S ribosomal RNA". It matches the Rfam family "Bacterial small subunit ribosomal RNA", at positions 28 to 1378 of the family's 1533-position model. The record is from RNAcentral.